This 29-nucleotide non-coding RNA is filed under the name Homo sapiens (human). The record is from RNAcentral. Lineage: Eukaryota; Metazoa; Chordata; Mammalia; Primates; Hominidae.
GUAACUGUCCUCUACUCAGGGAAGAGUGA